RNAcentral lists this ribosomal RNA (254 nucleotides) under uncultured bacterium. RNAcentral describes it as "partial 16S ribosomal RNA". It matches the Rfam family "Bacterial small subunit ribosomal RNA", at positions 524 to 776 of the family's 1533-position model. The record is from RNAcentral.
UACGGGGGGAGCAAGCGUUGUUCGGAUUUACUGGGCGUAAAGGGCGCGUAGGCGGCCACCGCAAGUCGACUGUGAAAUCUCCGGGCUUAACUCGGAAAGGUCAGCCGAUACUGCGGGGCUAGAGUGCAGAAGGGGCAACUGGAAUUCUCGGUGUAGCGGUGAAAUGCGUAGAUAUCGAGAGGAACACCGGUGGCGAAGGCGGCGACCUGGGUUGAUAUUGACGCUGAGGCGCGAAAGCGUGGGGAGCAAACAGG